ACUCAAAUGAAUUGACGGGGGGCCGCACAAGCGGUGGAGCGUGUGGUUUAAUUCGACGCUAAGCGAAGAACCUUACCAGGGCUUGACAUCCCGGUCGUAUCCCGUGGAAACACGGGAGUCAGUUUGCUGGACCGGUGACAGGUGCUGCAUGGUCGUCGUCAGCUCGUGUCGUGAGAUGUUGGGUUAAGUCCCGCAACGAGCGCAACCCUCGUCGUAUGUUGUAUUUUUCAUACGAGACUGCCUCGGUUAACGAGGAGGAAGGCGGGGAUGACGUCAGAUCAGCAUGGCCCUUAUGCUCUGGGCGACACACGCGCUACAAUGGCCGGCACAAUGGGACGCGAAGCCGCAAGGUGGAGCAAAUCCCAUCAAAGCCGGUCUCAGUUCGGAUUGGAGGCUGCAACUCGCCUCCAUGAAGUCGGAAUCGCUAGUAAUCGCAGGUCAGCCAUACUGCGGUGAAUACGUUCUCGGCCCUUGCACACACCGCCCGU
RNAcentral lists this ribosomal RNA (488 nucleotides) under uncultured bacterium. RNAcentral's name for it is "partial 16S ribosomal RNA". It matches the Rfam family "Bacterial small subunit ribosomal RNA", at positions 899 to 1397 of the family's 1533-position model. The record is from RNAcentral.